Molecule: long non-coding RNA, 341 nt
Filed under: Nicotiana tabacum (common tobacco)
Lineage: Eukaryota; Viridiplantae; Streptophyta; Magnoliopsida; Solanales; Solanaceae
Description: long non-coding RNA (NTAB_LNC019507)
Source: RNAcentral
CCUCGCCUGACUCAUUAGGUGGCUGACUGCGUAUGAAUUCCUCCACGUCAGCUGUGAAGCGAACCUAUAAGAAAAAUUACAUUGAAUUAGUAUUUCAAAAUUUAUACAAAAGUAUAUCAAAAUACUUAAUGAAAAGUAAAAAACUUACAUGUAUAGCCGAGGCUCGGCCCUCGAUCCACCUUUCUAGAUCAGUCUCUUUCUUCUUCUUUACAAUACAAGUCUCAUUGAAUAGCUCAUCUUACUUCAUUGGCAUCAUAAAGCUGUCUGGUGGCUUUGGUGAUUAUCCUCGUGGUACUCUUGGGAUGAACUUGGAUAUAGAGAAUAACUUGAAUAUAGUACCU